GACGAACGCUGGCGGUGUGCUUAACACAUGCAAGUCGAACGGUAAGGCCCUUUCGGGGGUCCACGAGUGGCGAACGGGUGCGUAACACGUGCGUAACCUGCACUCAUCUCUGGGAUAACAGUCGGAAACGGUUGCUAAUACUGGUUAUGAGCUAGAUAGGCAUCUUGUGGGUUGGAAAGAUUUUUUUGGGUUGGGGAUGGACUCGGGGCCUAUCAGCUUGUUCGUGGGGUAGUGGCUAACCAAGGCUUCGACGGGUAGCCGGCCUGAGAGGGCGACCGGCCACACUGGAACUGAGAGACGGCCCAAAGUCCGACGGGAGGCAGCAGUGGGGAAUAUUGCACAAUGGACGGAAGUCUGAGGCAGCAACGCCGCGGGCGGGAUGAAGGCUGUCGGGUGGUAAGCCGCUAUCAAUUGUGACGAAGCUUUUUUGUGACGGUAGCAGUAGAAGAAGCACCGGCUAACUACGUG
This 468-nucleotide ribosomal RNA is filed under the name uncultured bacterium. RNAcentral's name for it is "partial 16S ribosomal RNA". It matches the Rfam family "Bacterial small subunit ribosomal RNA", at positions 28 to 507 of the family's 1533-position model. The record is from RNAcentral.